Long non-coding RNA from Ostrinia nubilalis (European corn borer), 848 nucleotides. RefSeq lists it as uncharacterized. Lineage: Eukaryota; Metazoa; Arthropoda; Insecta; Lepidoptera; Crambidae. The transcript is spliced from 4 exons. The record is from RefSeq and is a predicted model, not a curated record.
UAUUUUAAUCUAUGUUCUGUGAAUGACAAGUGUUAUCUGUCAAGUGUCAAAAAACUUGAAAAACUUUUACGAAGUUUGAUUUUUGUUAAAUUUGUUUAUAAACACAAUGCCAAAGGCAAGAAUAAUUGCCCACGCCAGAUGGAGACCCAGCUAAAUAAUGUAGUAACAGCGCGUGGUCGUGUGAUGAGGGUUCCUUGACUUGAGUUCUGGCGCAACACGUCCUGGGCACUAAACAAGAUUGGGGAUGGGACGUCUAAAGAGGUGCAAGCCUGGAAAACGCUCUCGUCUUGCUCUACAGCACUUGCACUUGUCCCACCAUCUACCAGUGUUGGAACUCUUCCAAUAAUUUCCCACACCCAGGUGGAGAAUACUCCAGUUACUGCUACUCUAAAAUAUCUCUCAUCUUGUUCUACAGCGCCUGCACCUGUCCUACCAUCUACUAGUGUUGGAACUCUUUGAAGUGUAUUAAUGAUUAUUAUUUUAGUAACCAUAAAAGUUUAAAACAAUACAUUUUAUUGCAUAAUUAUUUGUUAGAAAAAAAUGAUGUAAAAUGAGUAGGGAGGCUGUUGAUUUUUCAUGGUUAUUUUAUAUCUUGUUGAUUGUUCCAAAAAAAAACUAAGUUUUCAAGAAUGCUGUGAUUAAAGUACCUAUAGUAUUAUAUUUAAAAUGAAAACUUAGUUUGUAAAGAGACGAAGGCUUACCACAAAAGAAGUACUUAUAGCUGUCUGUGUCUGUGUAAAGAAUUUAAAUAAAAAGAUGUGUAUAUUUAAACAGUUUUCUUUAUUUUAUUAGUCAUUUAUUCCUGUAAAUAAGCCCACACAGGGCACUUUUACAUGUCCCAACAUAAC